RNAcentral lists this ribosomal RNA (251 nucleotides) under uncultured prokaryote. RNAcentral's name for it is "partial 16S rRNA". It matches the Rfam family "Bacterial small subunit ribosomal RNA", at positions 525 to 775 of the family's 1533-position model. The record is from RNAcentral.
ACGUAGGGAGCAAGCGUUAUCCGGAUUUAUUGGGUGUAAAGGGUGCGUAGGCGGGAAGGCAAGUUGAAUGUGAAAUACCGGGGCUCAACUCCGGGGCUGCGUUCAAAACUGUUUUUCUUGAGUACAGCAGAGGCAAGCGGAAUUCCCAGUGUGGCGGUAAUCUGCGUAGAUAUUGGGAGGAACGCCGGUGGCGGUGGCGGCUUGCUAGGAUGCAACUGACCAUGAAGCACGAAAGUGUGGGGAGCAAACAG